UGAAAACCAAGAACUAAACCCACAUC
This 26-nucleotide unclassified non-coding RNA is filed under the name Mus musculus (house mouse). RNAcentral's name for it is "oocyte_clustered_small_RNA4945". Lineage: Eukaryota; Metazoa; Chordata; Mammalia; Rodentia; Muridae. The record is from RNAcentral.